AGCAAAGGCAGACAAUAGGCAUUGAGUCUCAACUGAACACUGUUUCCUCCAGAAUAUUUCUCUUCCAAAUUUCUCUUUCUCUUUCAGGCUGAGAGUAUGGCCCUUUGCAGAGGCUUACAUCUUUGUGUAGCUUACAGCGUGUUUGCACACUCUUUGGAGGCUGACCCGCGCUUGCUCCUCCUGGUCUCUAAGAGCAUCUGUGACAACUUCUGUGCUACAUUUGGGAGUCCAUUCCGAUGA
RNAcentral lists this long non-coding RNA (240 nucleotides) under Anser brachyrhynchus (Pink-footed goose). Its description in RNAcentral is "lncRNA (ENSABRG00000007355.1)". The record is from RNAcentral. Lineage: Eukaryota; Metazoa; Chordata; Aves; Anseriformes; Anatidae.